This 492-nucleotide ribosomal RNA is filed under the name uncultured bacterium. RNAcentral describes it as "partial 16S ribosomal RNA". It matches the Rfam family "Bacterial small subunit ribosomal RNA", at positions 38 to 507 of the family's 1533-position model. The record is from RNAcentral.
GGGGGGGGGGGGGGGGGGGCGGGGGGCGGGCGGGUCGGGCGGGAGCGGGCCGGCGGGUGCGGGGGAGGGGCGAACGGGUGAGUAAUGCAUCGGAACGUCCCCAGAGGUGGGGGCUAACGCCGCGACAGCUGUGCUAAUACCGCAUGUGAUCGGAGGAUGCAAGCGGGGGACCGCGCAGCAAUGUUUGGCCUCGCGCCUUUGGAGCGGCCGAUGUCGGAUUAGCUAGUUGGUGGGGUAAAGGCCUACCAAGGCGACGAUCCGUAGCUGGUCUGCGAGGACGACCAGCCACACUGGGACUGAGACACGGCCCAGACUCCUACGGGAGGCAGCAGUGGGGAAUGUUGGACAAUGGGCGCAAGCCUGAUCCAGCAAUGCCGCGUGCGGGAAGAAGGCCUUCGGGUUGUAAACCGCUUUUGGCAGGAACGAAACGGUGUCCGCUAAUACCGGGCGCUAAUGACGGUACCUGCAGAAUAAGCACCGGCUAACUACGUG